Molecule: ribosomal RNA, 591 nt
Filed under: Russula sp. D3100
Lineage: Eukaryota; Fungi; Basidiomycota; Agaricomycetes; Russulales; Russulaceae
Description: eukaryotic LSU rRNA
Rfam family: 5.8S ribosomal RNA (bases 137-290)
Source: RNAcentral
UGCUCUCAACCAUCCAUCUCACCCUAUGUGCACCACCGCGUGGGUUCUCUUUUGGCUCGUCCCGAAGGGGGCUCGCGUUUUCACACAAACUCGAUACAGUGUAGAAUGUCUCUUUGCGAUAACACGCAAUUAAUACAACUUUCAACAACGGAUCUCUUGGCUCUCGCAUCGAUGAAGAACGCAGCGAAAUGCGAUACGUAAUGUGAAUUGCAGAAUUCAGUGAAUCAUCGAAUCUUUGAACGCACCUUGCGCCCCUUGGCAUUCCGAGGGGCACACCCGUUUGAGUGUCGUGAAAUUCUCAAAAACCUUUCUUUUAUGAAAGGGUUUUGGACUUGGAGGCUUUUUGCUGGCUUCACCUCGAAGAUAGCUCCUCCUAAAUGAAUAAGUGGGGUCUGCUUUGCCGAUCCUCGACGUGAUAAGAUGUUACUACGUCUCGGGUUUGGCGAUGGCACCCGCUUCUAAUCGUCUCAUUGACAAUGAUGGCGUUCCGGUCACCACCGUUUCAUCGGUCGGGAGGCUUGACCCACCAAAAAAACCUUGACCUCAAAUCGGGUGAGACUACCCGCUGAACUUAAGCAUAUCAAUAAGCGG